This is a long non-coding RNA of Daphnia pulex (common water flea), 1424 nucleotides long. RefSeq lists it as uncharacterized. The transcript has 8 exons. Lineage: Eukaryota; Metazoa; Arthropoda; Branchiopoda; Diplostraca; Daphniidae. The record is from RefSeq and is a predicted model, not a curated record.
GAGUCAUGGCGGUCAGGCGUCAGGGGCUCAGGGCCAUCAAACUCAAGACGAACAACGUAGAAUGGCAGAAAGAACAAUGUGAUGCAUGAUGUAUCGUCCUAUCGUUAAAGAAAAUGGGAAAACACAGUGGAAUUCUGGGUUGGACUCGUCGAUUGCAGUGCCUGUAACUCAACUUCAAACAAACGUUAAUAGCUGCCUCAGCCACUUAAUUGCAUAUAUGUCUAUUUUUUGGCAAGUUAACAUGACUUGGCACAACAUUCCAUGGCUAAGUGAUUAUAUACCUAGAUCAUUGUGUCGUAGAAACACGAUGAAAAUAUUUAGUCCUGUAAUUUCUUGUCCAACGAUGCUAUACCAUCCACGAUGUAUACUAACUAUCCAAAAUGCCACUAUAAUAGUGCAUUGCUUGAAAUCAGGACAAACAGUCAAACAGAGUAAUCUUUGUUUGGAGGUGAAAUUCCUGUUUACUAUGAUAAACAGAAAAAAGGUUCCGAGAGCUCCAUUACCUACCUGAUUUGAUUUUUAUAGCUGGGCUCUUGGCUCUUGGCUGACAGGUGAUUUUGCCUACAAUUUCAGUCUCACUCCCAGUGUGUCAUCUGACCAUGUGGCCUGAAAUUGCUGUCCAUAUGCCGAAAUGUCGUCCAGUACCAGAAACUUAAAUGCAAUGGUUUUGAUUGGAUUAAUUUAAGCUAUGAUGGUGUUUGCUGCUCAACGUGUACAUGGUGAAAGGUGUGCUUGACCCAGAAUAAGCUGCUGUUGUCUCUGGUGUUGGUGAAUCUACAAUUCAACAUGUUAAACUGUUUGAUGCCGAAGUAAGUCAGAACUCUAACCCUAACAGCUGCUGCUGCUGCCUCAUACCCACAGGCAGAAAAGUUGCUCUAUUUCUUCAGACAAUUUAUAAUGUUCAACAGGCAGGUGAUAUUUCUGCAUUGUUGUUUAACACAACAUGGUUUUUGGGUGCGGCCAACCAGUGGAAGGCGUCAUCAAAUCAAGUUCAGCUGUUGCACGGAGUCUGUGGUGCCGGUGUUAUCCUGGAGUGUGUUGGUGUUUUGUGAAAUGUUUCGCAUAAGCUGUUUUGUGUGUCCCCAGGGCUUGCUAACUGACAAUGAGAGAUUUCAAUGUUUAACUUUACUUGUGUCAUUUUUGUUAUCGUGGCAUGAGAAUCACUGCUUGAUUUUUUUUUAAAGCAGGAUUAACAGCUAGUUGAAGUCUUAUCUUCACCUUCUUCUUUGUUCCAGUCUAAUUCACACAUGAAUUUUUUUCAGUCAGCAUUUUGAAUUUGACAUGAACAAUUUUAUUUAAUGGUUUCGCGUUUAUGUUCGCGUAGUUGCUGUCCGAUGUGGCACGUUGCUGCUAUGCUGGUGAAAGAUCUUUCUACAUCAAGUUCAAUUGGCCGUUCGGUGCUGGUGUCCUGUUACCGAAAUUGC